RNAcentral lists this ribosomal RNA (469 nucleotides) under uncultured bacterium. RNAcentral's name for it is "bacterial SSU rRNA". It matches the Rfam family "Bacterial small subunit ribosomal RNA", at positions 28 to 507 of the family's 1533-position model. The record is from RNAcentral.
GACGAACGCUGGCGGCGUGCCUAACACAUGCAAGUCGAGCGGAGAGGAAGGAGCUUGCUCCUGAAUCUUAGCGGCGGACGGGUGAGUAACGCGUGAGCAACCUGCCUUGAACUGGGGGAUAACGCAUCGAAAGAUGUGCUAAUACCGCGUAAGACCACAGUACCGCAUGGUACAGGGGUCAAAGGAGCAAUCCGGUUUAAGAUGGGCUCGCGUCCGAUUAGCUAGUUGGUGAGAUAACAGCCCACCAAGGCGACGAUCGGUAGCCGACCUGAGAGGGUGAUCGGCCACAUUGGAACUGAGACACGGUCCAGACUCCUACGGGAGGCAGCAGUGGGGAAUAUUGGGCAAUGGGCGAAAGCCUGACCCAGCAACGCCGCGUGAGGGAAGAAGGGUUUCGGCUCGUAAACCUCUGUCCUAUGGGACGAAGAAGUGACGGUACCAUAGGAGGAAGCCCCGGGCUAACUACGUG